UCGGCGAGCGGCGGACGGGCUGAGUAACGCGUGGGAAGUCUGCCCCAAAGUGAGGGAGUAACUGCCCGAAACGGGUAGCUAAUACCGCAUAUGGUCUUCGGAUUAAAGCAUUUAUGCGCUUUGGGAGGAGCCCGCGUCGGAUUAGGUAGUUGGUAGGGUAAUGGCCUACCAAGCCGACGAUCCGUAGCUGGUCUGAGAGGAUGAUCAGCCAGACUGGGACUGAGACACGGCCCAG
This 235-nucleotide ribosomal RNA is filed under the name uncultured bacterium. RNAcentral describes it as "partial 16S ribosomal RNA". It matches the Rfam family "Bacterial small subunit ribosomal RNA", at positions 88 to 334 of the family's 1533-position model. The record is from RNAcentral.